Molecule: non-coding RNA, 74 nt
Organism: Cajanus cajan (pigeon pea)
Lineage: Eukaryota; Viridiplantae; Streptophyta; Magnoliopsida; Fabales; Fabaceae
Source: Rfam
UUGAGCCGUAUGCGGGGGAACUCGCACGUGCGGUUCUUAGGGGGGAGAGCUAGUAGGAACCAUCCUAUCCCAAU